UACGAAGGGGGCUAGCGUUGCUCGGAAUCACUGGGCGUAAAGGGUGCGUAGGCGGGUCUUUAAGUCAGGGGUGAAAUCCUGGAGCUCAACUCCAGAACUGCCUUUGAUACUGAGGAUCUUGAGUUCGGGAGAGGUGAGUGGAACUGCGAGUGUAGAGGUGAAAUUCGUAGAUGUUCGCAAGAACACCAGUGGCGAAGGCGGCUCACUGGCCCGAUACUGACGCUGAGGCACGAAAGCGUGGGGAGCAAACAGG
RNAcentral lists this ribosomal RNA (253 nucleotides) under uncultured bacterium. RNAcentral's name for it is "partial 16S ribosomal RNA". It matches the Rfam family "Bacterial small subunit ribosomal RNA", at positions 524 to 776 of the family's 1533-position model. The record is from RNAcentral.